RNAcentral lists this ribosomal RNA (541 nucleotides) under uncultured Glomeromycotina. Its description in RNAcentral is "SSU rRNA". It matches the Rfam family "Eukaryotic small subunit ribosomal RNA", at positions 552 to 1096 of the family's 1831-position model. Lineage: Eukaryota; Fungi; Glomeromycota. The record is from RNAcentral.
AGGGCAAGUCUGGUGCCAGCAGCCGCGGUAAUUCCAGCUCCAAUAGCGUAUAUAAAGUUGUUGCAGUUAAAAAGCUCGUAAUUGAAUUUCGGGAUCAAUCUAUCGGUCGUGCAAUAGUACGUACUGAUUUUAUUGAUUCCUCCCUUCUGAUGAACUAUGAUGUCAUUAAUUUGGUGUCAUAGGGAAUCAGGACUGUUACUUUGAAAAAAUUAGAGUGUUUAAAGCAGGCUCACGCUUGAAUACAUUAGCAUGGAAUAACGAAAUAGGACGUUUGAUUCUAUUUUGUUGGUUUCUAGGAUCGACGUAAUGAUUAAUAGGGAUAGUUGGGGGCAUUAGUAUUCAAUUGUCAGAGGUGAAAUUCUUGGAUUUAUUGAAGACUAACUACUGCGAAAGCAUUUGCCAAGGAUGUUUUCAUUAAUCAAGAACGAAAGUUAGGGGAUCGAAGACGAUCAGAUACCGUCGUAGUCUUAACCAUAAACUAUGCCGACUAGGGAUCGGAUGAUGUUAAUUUUUUAAUGACUCAUUCGGCGCCUUACGGGAA